RNAcentral lists this unclassified non-coding RNA (300 nucleotides) under Hevea brasiliensis (rubber tree). Lineage: Eukaryota; Viridiplantae; Streptophyta; Magnoliopsida; Malpighiales; Euphorbiaceae. The record is from RNAcentral.
CCCCAAUCCAAGCUUAAUUUAAAAAAAAAUGAAGGCAAGAUAAAGAAACAUGCUCAUAAAAGCUUUAUUUAGGGUACGAAAUACAUCACCAAUUCCUAACAUUUAUGAUUUACAUAAAGCGCACGGAAUGCUGGCCAUUUUCAAUUACAGUUCAGUUGUUUACUGUUUCUUCUGCUGAGACUUCAGUUCAUUUACCCUCUCUUCUGUAGCCUUCAGUGCCUUCCCAUAUUUGAAAAUUAACUCAUCAACCUCUUCAGGGGUGAUUAUAAUUGGUGGAGACAUCAUUAUGUUAUCCCCUGC